UCAAACGAGGAAAGACUUAUGGUGGAUACCUAGGCACCCAGAGAUGAGGAAGGGCGUAGUAAGCGACGAAAUGCUUCGAGGAGUUGAAAAUAAGUAGAUCUGGAGAUUCCCGAAUAAGUUAACCUUUCGAACUGCUGCUUAAUCCAUGGGCAGACAAGAGAUAACCUGGUGAACUGAAACAUUUUAGUAGCCAGAGGAAAAGAAAGAAAAAGCAAUUCACGUAGUAGCGGUAAGUGGAAUGGGAGCAGCCUAAACCGUGAAAACGGGGUUGUGGGAGAGAAAGACAAGCGUCGUGUUGCUAGGCGAAGCGGUGGAGUGCUGCACCCUAGAUGGUGAGAGUCCAGUAGCUGAAAGCAUCACUAGCUUAUGCUCUGACCCGAGUAGUAUGGGACACGUGGAAUCCCGUGUGAAUCAGCAAGAACCACCUUGCAAGGCUAAAUACUCCUGGGUGACUGAUAGUGAAGUAGUACCGUGAGGGAAGGGUGAAAAGAACCCCCAUCAGGGAGUGAAAUAGAACAUGAAACCGUAAGCUCCCAAGCAGUGGGAGGAGCCCUGGGCUCUGACCGCGCGCCUGUUGAAGAAUGAGCUGGCGACUCAUAGGCAGUGGCUUGGUUAAGGGAACCCACCGGAGCCGUAGCGAAAGCGAGUCUUCAUAGGGCAAUUGUCACUACUUAUGGACUCAAACCUGGGUGAUCUAUCCAUGACCAGGAUGAAGAUUGGGUGAAACUAAGUGGAGGUCUGAACUGAUUAAUGUUGAAGAAUUAGCGGAUGAGUUGUGGUUAAGGGUGAAAUGAGCUAGCUGGUUCUCCCCAAAAUGCGUUGAGGAGCAGCAGUUGACUGGGGGUAAUGCACUGUUUUGGUGCGGGCUGCAAAAAUGUGGCCGAAGAUGAACGGGGCUAAGCGAUUUGUCGAAGCUGUGGGAUGUAAAAAUGCAUCGGUAGGGAAGUGUUCCGCCUAGAGGAAAGCAACCGCGCCAGCGGCGGUGGACGAAGCGGAAGCGAGAAUGUCAACUUGAGUAACGCAAAGAUUGGUCAGAAUCCAAUGCCCCGAACACCCAAGGGUUCCUCCACAAGGUUCGUCCAUGGAGGGUGAGUCAGGGCCUAAGAUCAGGCCGAAAGGUGUAGUCGAUGGACAACAAGUGAAUAUUCCUGUACUACCCUUUGUUGUUCCCGAGGGACGAAGGAGGCUAGGUUAGCUGAAAGAUGGUUAUCGGUUCAAGGACACGAGGUGCCCCUAAUUUUUCAGGGUAAGAAGAGGUAGAGAAAAUGCCUCGAACCAAUGUUUGAGUACCAAGCGCCACGACGCUGAAGUAACCUAUGCCAUACUCCCAAGAAAAGCUCGAAUGACCUUCAACAAAAGGGUACCUGUACCCAAAACUAACACAGGUGGGUAGGUAGAGAAUACCUAGGGGCGCGAGAUAACUCUCUCUAAGGAAAUCGGCAAAAUAGCCCCGUAACUUCGGGAGAAGUGGUGCUUCCUUACAAAGGAGGUCGCAAUGACCAGGCCCGGGCAACUGUUUACCAAAAACACAAGUCUCCGUAAAGUCGUAAGAUCAUGUAUGGGGGCCGAUGCCUGCCCAGUGGUGGAAGGUCAAGGAAGUUAAUGACUUGAUGACAGGGGAGUCGGCGACCGAAGCCCCAGUGAACGGCGGUCGUAACUAUAACGGUCCUAAGGUAGUGAAAUUCCUUGUCGGGUAAGUUUCGACCCGCACGAAAGGCGUAACGGUCUAGGCACUGUCUCGGAGAGAGGCUCGGUGAAAUAGACAUGUCUGUGAAGAAGCAGACUACCUGCACCUGGACAGAAAGACCCUAUGAAGCUUCACUAUUCCCUGGGAUUGGCUUUGGGCCUUUCCUGCGCAGCUUAGGUGGAAGGCGAAGAAGGCAACCUUCC
Molecule: ribosomal RNA, 1890 nt
Filed under: Geum urbanum
Lineage: Eukaryota; Viridiplantae; Streptophyta; Magnoliopsida; Rosales; Rosaceae
Description: bacterial LSU rRNA
Rfam family: Bacterial large subunit ribosomal RNA
Source: RNAcentral